Molecule: long non-coding RNA, 903 nt
Organism: Oncorhynchus keta (chum salmon)
Lineage: Eukaryota; Metazoa; Chordata; Actinopteri; Salmoniformes; Salmonidae
Exons: 3
Source: RefSeq, a predicted model, not a curated record
GGUCCAGGAACAGGGUUGUCUACCCCUGGUGUAGGGUCCAGGAACAGGGUUGUCUACCCCUGGUGUGUAGGGUCCAGGAACAGGGUUGUCUACCCCUGGUGUGUAGGGUCCAGGAACAGGGUUGUCUACCCCUGGUGUAUAGGGUCCAGGAACAGGGUUGUCUACCCCUGGUGUGUAGGGUCCAGGAACAGGGUUGUCUACCCCUGGUGUGUAGGGUCCAGGAACAGGGUUGUCUACCCCUGGUGUAGGGUCCAGGAACAGGGUUGUCUACCCCUGGUGUGUAGGGUCCAGGAACAGGGUUGUCUACCCCUGGUGUGUAGGGUCCAGGAACAGGGUUGUCUACCCCUGGUGUGUAGGGUCCAGGAACAGGGUUGUCUACCCCUGGUGUGUAGGGUCCAGGAACAGGGUUGUCUACCCCUGGUGUAUAGGGUCCAGGAACAGGGUUGUCUACCCCUGGUGUGUAGGGUCCAGGAACAGGGUUGUCUACCCCUGGUGUGUAGGGUCCAGGAACAGGGUUGUCUACCCCUGGUGUAGGGUCCAGGAACAGGGUUGUCUACCCCUGGUGUGUAGGGUCCAGAAACAGGGUUGUCUACCCCUGGUGUAUAGGGUCCAGGAACAGGGUUGUCUACCCCUGGUGUGUAGGGUCCAGGAACAGGGUUGUCUACCCCUGGUGUGUAGGGUCCAGGAACAGGGUUGUCUACCCCUGGUGUAGGGUCCAGGAACAGGGUUGUCUACCCCUGGUGUAUAGGGUCCAGGAACAGGGUUGUCUACCCCUGGUGUAUAGGGUCCAGGAACAGGGUUGUCUACCCCUGGUGUGUAGGGUCCAGGAACAGGGUUGUCUACCCCUGGUGUAGGGUCCAGGAACAGGGUUGUCUACCCCUGGUGUGUAGGGUCCAGGAACAG